This 259-nucleotide ribosomal RNA is filed under the name uncultured bacterium. RNAcentral describes it as "partial 16S ribosomal RNA". It matches the Rfam family "Bacterial small subunit ribosomal RNA", at positions 524 to 779 of the family's 1533-position model. The record is from RNAcentral.
UACGUAGGGUGCAAGCGUUUAAUCGGAAUUACUGGGCGUAAAGCGUGCGCAGGCGGUUUUGUAAGUCUGUCGUGAAAUCCCCCGGGCUCAACCUGGGAAUUGCGAUGGAGACUGCAAGGCUAGAAUCUGGCAGAGGGGGGUAGAAUUCCACGUGUGAGCAGUGAAAUGCGUAGAGAUGUGGAGGAACACCGAUGGCGAAGGCAGCCCCCUGGGUCAAGAUUGACGCUCAUGCACGAAAGCGUGGGGAGCAAACGAGGAU